UAAAAAUGCACAAUUUAAUCAGUUCUUAGAAAACUGUUCGUAACUUGAAAGCGCUUCGACUUUUGAUUGUGCAAGUUAGACUAGGAAGAAAGACCAGUCAAAGAUCUAUCAAAGAUCUACAAAAUGAUGCCCGAAUCGCUUACUAUCUCGAAGGAUUGGCUGUGAUCUGCUUCUGUCAAGCGCUACACAAAGUACUGGGUGUAGCUUAUAACCUGAGGCAGCUAUGUGUAUAGAGAGAAACAGUGGCAGUGGUAAAAAGGUGUGACUGGAUCCAAUAAUCCAG
This is a long non-coding RNA of Halichondria panicea, 283 nucleotides long. RefSeq lists it as uncharacterized. Lineage: Eukaryota; Metazoa; Porifera; Demospongiae; Suberitida; Halichondriidae. The transcript has 3 exons. The record is from RefSeq and is a predicted model, not a curated record.